This 200-nucleotide ribosomal RNA is filed under the name uncultured bacterium. RNAcentral's name for it is "partial 16S ribosomal RNA". It matches the Rfam family "Bacterial small subunit ribosomal RNA", at positions 8 to 222 of the family's 1533-position model. The record is from RNAcentral.
AGAGUUUGAUCCUGGCUCAGGACUAACGCUGGCGGCGUGCCUAACACAUGCAAGUCGAACGGGGUAGCAAUACCCAGUGGCAGACGGGUGAGUAAUACAUCGGAACAUGUCCAGUAGUGGGGGAUAGCCCGGCGAAAGCCGGAUUAAUACCGCAUACGAUCUACGGAUGAAAGCGGGGGAUCUUCGGACCUCGCGCUAUA